Molecule: ribosomal RNA, 483 nt
Filed under: uncultured bacterium
Lineage: Bacteria
Description: partial 16S ribosomal RNA
Rfam family: Bacterial small subunit ribosomal RNA
Source: RNAcentral
UUGAACGCUGGCGGCAGGCCUAACCCAUGCAAGUCGCGCGGAUGAAGGGAGUUUGCUCCUGGAUUCAGCGGCGGACGGGUGAGUAAUGCCUAGGAAUCUGCCUGGUAGUGGGGGAUAACGUCCGGAAACGGGCGCUAAUACCGCAUACGUCCUGAGGGAGAAAGUGGGGGAUCUUCGGACCUCACGCUAUCAGAUGAGCCUAGGUCGGAUUAGCUAGUUGGUGGGGUAAAGGCCUACCAAGGCGACGAUCCGUAACUGGUCUGAGAGGAUGAUCAGUCACACUGGAACUGAGACACGGUCCAGACUCCUACGGGAGGCAGCAGUGGGGAAUAUUGGACAAUGGGCGAAAGCCUGAUCCAGCCAUGCCGCGUGUGUGAAGAAGGUCUUCGGAUUGUAAAGCACUUUAAGUUGGGAGGAAGGGCAGUAAGUUAAUACCUUGCUGUUUUGACAUUACCAACAGAAUAAGCACCGGCUAACUUCGUG